This 223-nucleotide long non-coding RNA is filed under the name Mytilus galloprovincialis (Mediterranean mussel). Lineage: Eukaryota; Metazoa; Mollusca; Bivalvia; Mytilida; Mytilidae. The record is from RNAcentral.
GGACGACAUCAAAAGAUUGAUGUAGGAUAAAAAACUUAAAUCAAAUAGUUUGGGGGUGGAGGGUCAACAUGGCUGCAAGUUUUGUUAAUCUAAAAUCGAUUUUACAUAUAUCCCUAUUGGUCAAUCAAUUUUUCCCAAAUUAAGUUAAGAGGGGUGUGGGGGUCAGUGAAAAAACUAUGUGAAUUAAGUUUUUUAUCCUUCAUUGAACUUUGAUGUCGCCCCU